GUCACCAGAGCCAGAUGGGCAUACUCCUUCCUAAACCAACCACCCACUGUGGGCUCCAUCAAGGUUGAGCUUCUCCAGGAAGUGCCUAGGUGAAAGAGCUGAGAUCUUGAGGAGCAAGUCAUUCUCAGGUGAAAUGUCUAAGGUGUAAGGUAAGGAGUACAGAAAGGGCAACGAUUGUGAGAGAAAAGAGGUGGGAUGUUAAGCUCACUUUCAUCACUGAAUUCAAAUUUGGAGGAGUUUUACAGUCUUUAUAUUAUUUUGAUGGAAGGAAGAUUGAGUAGAAGCAAGCAUACAAGAUGGAAUAUGGAAGAAAAAAAACUUAAGCUAAUGAGAUACAGAAUAAUGUUAAAAUUAUAUGAAAUGCUUAACAUAAGAAACUACUAUUUAGGGAAAAUAUGACAUGUUUGCAGUUAGAAAUAAAAAUAUGUUACAUCUGCAGAUGACAGGAACCACUGCAAGGAGUAGAAUGUUUUGAUUCCAGUCACUGUAAUUCAGUUAGCCCCAGGGGUUCUUCUUGGCUCCAUCUAGUUUGCUAGGACACAUAAUUUUUCUUUGAGACUGCCAAGAAUUCUGCUUGAUUUUCAUUAUUCUAACAACAUAAACAAUAACAGGACGUUAUCAUUUAUUUAGCACUCCCUCUUUGACAAAGGCUGAGUGGAGAGCUUCCUUCAUACGUGAUUUCACUUAAUCCUCACAAUCACUUCAUGGGAGAGGUGCCAUUAUUACCUUAGUUUGCAGAUGAAAAAAGCAGACCUUUGAAAAAGUGUUAACUUUCUCAAGGUCAAAUAGCUGGUGAAUUCAAAGAUGAAUGGAUUCCUUCAUUGUCCCAGACACACUGACCUGGAAGGCAGUUACAGACUUUAACUGAUGGUUUACCUACUUAAAUUGAGACAUAGAGCCUGAAAUGUAAAGUGAUUUUGCUAACACUAUGGCAGACAAAGAAAACAUAGCCUAGCAAUCAAAAGAAAUUUCAAAGUAGCUCAGGUUCUAUAUUUGAGCAAUGCUUCUUUAAAAUCCCAUUUCUCCCCUAGCCCUUCCUUCCCAACCUGUGGCCGCUUUGGUCCUUUCUCACCCUAACUCUCCUAAAAGACUCCUUUCUCAGUCCUAGCCAUCUGCUCCUCUAGCCCUUUCCCUUCUCUUCUCUCAUUCAGACUUUUCACCAUUCUCUUGAUUGGGAAUCAAAAAAAGCCAACUCUGCAGGACAUCUGUGAGAAGAUAGAUAUAUCACCUUGAGACAGAACAUCACCUCCUGGCACCAGACACACUGCUUGAUAGGCUGAGCACAUGCUGAUACUCAGGACCACUUCCCCCUUACACCAGGUGCCUUUGGAAACCAACCCUCAGGCAAAAACUGCAACUCCUCAAAUCCAGACAAUGAGAAGCCAGGCCCCUCAUCCAUCUUGAUUGCUUUCUUACUUGUUUCUGAUUCCUGUUUUCCCUGAACAUAGCUAUAUUCCUUCCCUACCAUAUAAACCCCAAAUUUAGUCAAGUGGGAGAGACAAAUUUGAGGUUUGGCUCUCACUUCUUCAGCUGAAGUCCCCCAAAUAAAAAGCCUUCUUCCCUGGC
Molecule: long non-coding RNA, 1566 nt
Organism: Pan troglodytes (chimpanzee)
Lineage: Eukaryota; Metazoa; Chordata; Mammalia; Primates; Hominidae
Exons: 3
Source: RefSeq, a predicted model, not a curated record